UGAGUGGGCCGAAACGGCCUCUAUUCAUCAAGCCCGUGGAUGAAGCCAGUGCUUUGGCGCUUUGGCGUCGAGCUUCAAAUGCUUUAUUGACCUAUUUGCGUCCGGGGAAAUAUUGAGACUCA
This 122-nucleotide unclassified non-coding RNA is filed under the name uncultured fungus. Its description in RNAcentral is "sequence contains ITS1". The record is from RNAcentral. Lineage: Eukaryota; Fungi.